Long non-coding RNA from Leptopilina heterotoma, 1172 nucleotides. RefSeq lists it as uncharacterized. NCBI's taxonomy places the organism in Eukaryota, Metazoa, Arthropoda, Insecta, Hymenoptera, Figitidae. The transcript is spliced from 3 exons. The record is from RefSeq and is a predicted model, not a curated record.
AUGAUUGUUUAAAGUUUUUUUCUAAAAAGUCAACAAUUUUAUUUAUCACUUUUCGCUGCGCUAUAAAAAGAAAGGUACUAAUUUAGUACAAUUAAACAUUGUUGACUCAGAAGAAAAUAGUGAAGCUGAAAAUGUACCUACUAAACAUUUAGAGACUAAUGUUGUGAAUGUAGCUGUUGUGAGUGUGCAGCAUUUAGAGGAACAGAUUGAUUCGGAUAAUGUGUCUGUUGAAAAUUUAAGAGAUGACAAUGACGUCAAAAAAGAGGAGGACAAUAUUAAUAUUGAAUAUACACCUCCUGUUAAGGUUGAAAAUUAUGUUAUGACCAAUAAAUUAAAAUUGGUAAGCAUUUGGUUUUCUUUAUUCAAUUCGAAGGAUUCUUGUAAUUCGAUGGCUGUUUUUGAAAGACUGAUUUUACCACUGAAAGAGUUUGACAUUUGGAAUCCGAGAGAGGGACGUUCCGCUCCGUUUGUCAUUUUUCAUGAUGGAACAGAUUAUAGAGGGAGAGAUUGGUGGACUUUGAUACCUUGCGUUGAUUUGAUAAAAUUUGCCAUAUUGCUACAGUUAAAUGCUUAUGGACAUGAUGGCAUAUUUUAUUUGGAGGGAAGGUAUUUUUUUUUGAGUCCAACAGGAUUAAAAUUGUUGAUGAAGAACUUAUAUCCUGGGAGGGAAAUAAAAGAAUUCUUAAGAAGUUGCCUACAAUUGAAUACGAAGGUGUUACUAUAACUUUGCCUGCUGAGUUUGCUGCGAAAAAGAAUUCGAUUAUUAAUGAUCAUAAAUCUUUGUUGGACAAAUGUUUUGACACUGAAGAAAUCUUUAUUUUAUAUAAUCGAAAAGUAAAAUUUGUGGGUGACUCAAUGAUUCGAGUGUGCAAAUAUGAUUAAUGGUUUAGUGAGCAAUUUCAACUAUUAGGUUAUAAACAGAAGAGAACUUCUUUGAAAACUUUUCGUAUGCGCAUGGAACUUCCUAUGGAGUGGAAACUUAAUUUUUAUUGCUCAAUAAAUGAAGGAUUUUCUAAUCUAAAAAGGCACAUGUUGGAAUCGACAGAUCUUUUGGGGUCUCCUUUUUUUGCUGGAGGUGUGAAAUGGAUGAUAAAUGGUCAUCAGGUGAAUCGUGUAAGUGUUAAAAACUUAUUUUCUUGUUUAUUAUAUGCAUUUAACUAAAAAAACUUGUG